Molecule: non-coding RNA, 3328 nt
Organism: Microcebus murinus (gray mouse lemur)
Lineage: Eukaryota; Metazoa; Chordata; Mammalia; Primates; Cheirogaleidae
Source: RefSeq, a predicted model, not a curated record
CACAUGGGCCUGGGGCAUUCUGGCAUGCGGGGUCCCCGGGGCAGGAGGGCAUCAGGGCGGCUGUGAGCCUCGGGGCCGGGCCCCAGCAGCGUGCCUCUAACCGGCCACGCACAGUGGGCCCGGAGUUGCGGAACUAUGGGGAGGCGGCAAGGGGCUGCGUCUGGGCGCCCGACAUUUUCCGCAUCAAUAGUGAAGGAAUAUCUCAUUGUAGAUUUAAUUUGCGUUUCCCUGAUAGCUAAUGAUAUUGAUAAACAUGUGAAACAUCUUUUCGUGUGUUUAUAUGCCAUCCAUAUAUCCUCUUCAGUGAAAUGUUUGUUCCUAUAUUUUCUCUAUUUUCUAAUUGAAUUUUUUAAAAUCUAAGUUUAAAAGACAGAUUAUACGAAGCGCAACCCAAAUAGCUAUCAAGAACAUUUAAGAAAAAUAUCCCAAGAAAGAUCUCCCUAGACUUGAGAAAUACUGUUAGAUAAAUAAAUUGAGUCAACUAAUGGAUUGUAGAUGGAUGUUUUGGAACAAAUGGGUGAAAAGAGGAAUUUUCAGCUUUUUGUGGUUCCAGUUCUCUUGUCAAUAACUCAGGCUUCAAAGUCUUAAAUGUUGGCCCGGAUUUGCACUUUUUUACUGUGUCAAUUUCUGCCUAAUCCAGCACGUGUCUGCUGUGUGACAGGUGUGUUCCCAACCCCCUUCUCCUACGGCAAGACUUUCCCGUGGCUUCACAGUGAUUCCACUCUCACUUAGCUUGUACACCUCAUUUUACUGUUACCUCUUAUACCCCUUUUCCCUUAAAAUUUUACCUUUGUAUUUUGCAGCAAAAUUUCUCCUGCAUGUAUUUUAUAGACUACCCUUAAAUAGGCUAACCUCUUUCGUACUAUGGAAGUUUAAUAAAAUAUAAGUAAUAGACAUAAAAAAUAGCUUUGGAGCCACUUUCCCAGGUUCUGCGCUCUUUCCUCGUCUGUCCUUGACCUUCUACUCUUUCUAUUCCUUUCCUCUGCAAAAAGCCUCGGUGGGGACAGGUACACUCCUUUGACUAGUUUAAUUCUGAAGCGUAUCAAUGGCUUCCUUAGACAGGUCUCGUGGGCCAAAUUAUUUUGUUUUUCUGUAGAGCUUGGGAAUUUGAGUAAGACUGUCAGAGUUGUCUUGGUGGAAGGGUGAGAAAGAAGCAGUCUAGAGACACAGCAGUAAACCUUUCUAGGAGGUAAUGAAGUUGCUUUAGACUGCAGGGGGUCAUCAGAACAUUUCCUUAGAGGAUGCAUUUCUGACCAAGUAAUAGGAUAGACAAAAGCCCAAGGCUUAAAGACAAAAGGAGCUGAAUUUGUUUCCUUGUUCUGCCAUUACUAACUUAGUGAAAUGGGGCAGAUUACUUAACCUCUCUGAGCCUCCACUUAAUUAUUUGUGAAAAUGAGGUCAUAAUUCCCAUAUUACCUUCCAUAAUGGUUGUAGCAGGGAUCAAAUGGGAUAAUGCAAUGUGCUUGUCAGUGAUGAAGCUCUACACAAAUGUAAGCUGCUAGUAUGUUUAUAAUAAUUAUACUCCUCCCCCACAGCUAAAGCAGACACAACCUGGAAGAGAAACAGUCAUUUUCAUAGAACGAGGUCAAAUGAUCACUGUGUGAAUCACGGCAAUACAGUGCAAGACAGUGAUUUACUGCUUUGGAGGGCAUGCACGUGUAUGAUUAAGGGAUAUAAGUGCAGGACUCCCAAGAUUUACUUCCUUCCUGUUCCAGCAGGGUCACCUGAGGGGAGUGAGUAAUGGGAUAAUUUAUAACACCACAGGCCCUUUGUCAAGAGACCACUAGUCAAAACAGGAAGAUAAAACUCAGAAGAUUUCAACUGGGAGAAUACAACUUUUGAUACUCUCUGGAUAUACCUCUUAAUUGCAAGCAGGAGAGUCUUCACAAUUUUCUUGUUUUGUUUUUUCAAGGAGAUAGAUGUUCAUUAAAAAGGUAGGAUCAUCUGGAGUUAUUCUGUUGUUCUUAUACUUGGAGAUCUAGAACUUGCUUUAGAACUUUUUGACAAAAUCUUCAUCCUCAGACUCGGUAUCAACUUUAUCAACUGAAGGUUAUCCCUGGGAUCGCCCUUCUCAACUGCCCUCAUCCAUGGAUGGCUGUUCUCUGUUUUCUGUUCCACUAGCUGUCCUCAAAACUAAUAGAUGGGAAAGGAAACUGUGAUGGGCUGCUGCCAGCUUCAACUUCCUGCCCUGGUCCCAGCAUGGACUGAGCAUUUGCCCUGAGAAAGCAGUUCCUCUCAUGUCAUCUGAAAUGAAUCUCAUGUUGACUUCUGACAUCCUGGUUUACAUUUUUUUGUGAUACCACACAUGCAGUUGUUUCCUAUGGUGCUUGUAAAUAUCCUAGAAGUACAGCUAAAGUUGAGUUGGACUCUUGCAACUUUUAAAUUGUCUUUGAACAGAGGGUGCUGUUCUGAACAUUACAUGAAGGAUAGAGGAAAUCAAAGAAAAUACUACCAUUUUGGUCUGAGAGCAAUAUUGAAGAGGCAAGCCUGUGCAUUAUAAAAGACAGACACAGAUGGAGACAGAGUCCCACACACAGAGACUGCUCACACACAUGCACACACACACAGACAUGCACAGAGAGAGAGAAAGAGAGGGAGAGAGAGAGGGAGAGGGAGGGGGAGAAGAGGCUGGGGUUACAUAUUCCAUGGAAUUUGGGCCUUUUGGAAAAAUCAAGACCAAAAAUAGACUUGAAAUUUACUCUUCUUAUAAAUAUUUUCUUAUGGAGAAAACACUGAUGAAAGAACCUGCAAAAGUCAUUUCUUGCAGGAAGUAAAAUGUAGAAGGAAACAUCCUAUAUAUCAUCUUUAGUGUCAUACAUUGUCACAGGGUUUGGAAGGGAAAUGUGCUCUUAUCUGAGGAAUUAGGGUCUAUCACUAGGAGACUGAGAAUGUACAUUAUUUUCACUUUCCAUGGAUACUUAUCUACAGAUAUUAUUUGCAAUUAAAAUGGUUAUUUCAUUUUUCAAUAUUCAAAUAUAAUUUUUAACUAUAUAGUAAUACAUGCCUAUUAUAGAAAAUUUGGAAAAUACAGAAAGACCUCCAGACAAAAAUAAAAACAACCUAUAAUCACAUAACCUAGAGAGAAUUGGGCUGUAUAUCCUUUCAGAAUUUAUUCCUAUGUGCUUACAUCUAUGUGUGUUUUUUAUAUAAAUGGGAUCAAACUAUAUAGCCAUUUUGGAUUCUGGAUUUUUCCUAUACAAAUAAAAUAAACAUGAUAUUUAAUGGUUGCAUUGUAAUUCUUGAUGUGUCUGUAUCAUUAUUUUACCAUUUCUCUAUGGAUCUUCUACUUUAUUAAUUGUGUUGGUUGGGAUGUUGGUAGUGAUUUAUU